AGAGCGCAAGGGGAAUGCCUUGGCACUGGGAGCCGACGAAGGACGUAGCGAUCUACGAUAAGCCACGGUGAGCCGAAAGCAGGCAUCGACCCGUGGAUUUCCGAAUGGGGCAACCUGGCUGAAUAGAACUCAGUCAACAUACGGUGAAUAAAAUAGUCGUAUGUGGGGAACCGCCUGAACUGAAACAUCUAAGUAGGGCGAGGAAAAGAAAUCAACCGAGAUUCCGCAAGUAGUGGCGAGCGAACGCGGAAGAGGCCAAACCGAGAGUAGUAAUACUUUCGGGGUUCGGACAGCGGACGGUAUGCUGAAGGUUAGCAGAAGGACAUGGGACGGUCCACCAAAGAGAGUGAGAGUCUCGUAUGCGAAAACUGAAAGCAGCCAGCUGAAUCCAGAGUACCGCCGGACACGUGAAACCCGGUGGGAAUAUGGGGGGACCAUCCUCCAAGCCUAAAUACUACCCAGUGACCGAUAGCGUAUAGUACUGUGAAGGAAAGGUGAAAAGAACCCCGGGAGGGGAGUGAAAAGAACCUGAAACCUUGUGCUUACAAGCACACAAAGCACGUCAACGUGUGAUGUGGUACCUUUUGUAGAAUGGUCCGGCGAGUGAAUGUAACUGGCGAGGUUAAGUUCUUAAGGAACGGAGCCGAAGCGAAAGCAAGUCUGAAUAGGGCGUCUUAGUCAGUUGUAUUCGACCCGAAACCGGGUGACCUAUCCAUGUCCAGGAUGAAGUUAAGGUAAAACUUGAUGGAGGUCCGAACCCACGGUCGUUGAAAUGCCCGGGGAUGAGAUGUGGAUAGCGGAGAAAUUCCAAUCGAACCCGGAUAUAGCUGGUUCUCUCCGAAAUAGCUUUAGGGCUAGCCUCGACUGAACAUUACCGGAGGUAGAGCACUGAAUGGGCUAGGGGCCGAGAGGUUACUGAACCCUAUCAAACUUCAAAUGCCGGAAAAUGAUAGUCGGGAGUCAGACUGCGUGAGAUAAGUUUCGUAGUCGAAAGGGAAACAGCCCAGACCCACAGCUAAGGUCCCAAAGUACGGUUAAGUGGAAAAGGAUGUGGAGUUGCACAGACAACCAGGAUGUUGGCUUAGAAGCAGCCACUCAUUAAAAGAGUGCGUAAUAGCUCACUGGUCGAGUGACUCUGCGCCGAAAAUUUAACGGGGCUAAAUCGUACACCGAAGCUUGGGAUGUAUCUAUGAUACAUGGUAGGAGAGCGUUGAAUGCGGGGUGAAGUCAGAGCGAAAGCGCUGGUGGACUGCAUUGAAGUGAGAAUGCCGGAAUGAGUAGCGAGAUUUAUGUGAGAAUCAUAAAGGCCGAAAGACUAAGGUUUCAGAAGGAAGGUUCGUCCGCUUCUGGUUAGCCGGGAGCUAAGGUGAGGCCGAAAGGCGUAGCCGAUGCACAUACGGUGGAGAUUCCGUAGCCGUCGAAAUAUUUAAGCAAAGGGACACUUAUGAAGGACAUGACCCGGGCGAUGGUAGCCCCGGGCGUAAGGGACUGAAAACAAGUAAGGAAGCAUGUUUGGAUUAAGGCGAGAAAAGCUUUGUGUAUAUAUUAGACGUCCGUACCGCAAACCGACACAGGUAGUCAGGAAGAGGAUUCUAAGGCCAACGGGAGAAGGGUAGUUAAGGAACUCGGCAAAUUGACCCCGUAACUUCGGGAUAAGGGGCGGUGCGUAAGCACCCGCAGUGAAUAGGUCCAGGCGACUGUUUAUCAAAAACACAGCUCUCUGCUAAAUCGAAAGAUGACGUAUAGGGGGUGACACCUGCCCGGUGCUGGAAGGUUAAGAGGAGGAGUGCAAGCUCCGAAUUGAAGCCCCAGUAAACGGCGGCCGUAACUAUAACGGUCCUAAGGUAGCGAAAUUCCUUGUCGGGUAAGUUCCGACCCGCACGAAUGGUGUAACGAUCUGGACGCUGUCUCAACUGCCCACCCGGCGAAAUUGUAGUACCGGUGAAGAUGCCGGUUACCCGCGGCAAGACGGAAAGACCCCAUGGAGCUUUACUGUAACUUGAUAUUGGGUCUUGGUAUUCUAUGUACAGGAUAGGCGGGAGACUAUGAAACAUACACGCCAGUGUAUGCGGAGUCACCCUUGGGAUACCGCUCUUAGAGUACUGAGAUUCUAACCUGCGGCCGUGAAUCCGGUCGGGGGACAUUGUCAGGUGGGCAGUUUGACUGGGGCGGUCGCCUCCUAAAAGGUAACGGAGGCGCUCAAAGGUUAGCUCAGCACGGUCGGAAACCGUGCCUCUGAGUGCAAACGCAAAAGCUAGCCUAACUGCGAGGCUGACGGGCCGAGCAGUAACGAAAGUUGGAGUUAGUGAUCCGGCGGUAUGUGAAUGGAAAUGCCGUCGCUCAACGGAUAAAAGCUACCCUGGGGAUAACAGGCUGAUCUCCCCCAAGAGUCCACAUCGACGGGGAGGUUUGGCACCUCGAUGUCGGCUCAUCGCAUCCUGGGGCUGUAUUCGGUCCCAAGGGUUUGGCUGUUCGCCAAUUAAAGCGGUACGCGAGCUGGGUUCAGAACGUCGUGAGACAGUUCGGUCCCUAUCUGUCGUGGGCGCAGGAUAUUUGAUGGGAGCUGUCCCUAGUACGAGAGGACCGGGAUGGACGCACCUCUGGUGCACCAGUUGUCACGCCAGUGGCACAGCUGGGCAGCUAUGUGCGGAACGGAUAAACGCUGAAAGCAUCUAAGCGUGAAGCCGCCUCCAAGAUAAGAUAUCCCAUAGCAUAAGCUAGUAAGACCCCUCAUGGACUAAGAGGUUGAUAGGCUGCAUGUGUAAGCGCGGUGACGCGUUUAGCUUGGCAGUACUAAUAGGUCGAGGGCUUGACUU
This 2816-nucleotide ribosomal RNA is filed under the name metagenome. RNAcentral describes it as "bacterial LSU rRNA". It matches the Rfam family "Bacterial large subunit ribosomal RNA". The record is from RNAcentral.